AGUGAACGCUGGCGGUAUGCCUAACACAUGCAAGUCGAACGGCGGCACAGUAACAUCUUGCUCUUACGGGUUUCGGGUGGCGGACGUGUGAGGAAUACAUCGUACUCUACUUUUUCGGGUGGGAUAACGUAGCGAAACUUACUCUAAUACCGCAUACGACCUACGGGUGAAAUCACUGGAUCUUCGGACCUUGCGCGAUUCAAUGAGCCGAUGUCGGAUUUGCUAGUUGGCGGGGUAAAGGCCCACCAAGGCGACGAUCCGUAGCUGGUCUGAGAGGAUGAUCAGCCACACUGGACCGGAGCAACGGCCCAGACUCCUACGGGAGGAACAAGUGGGGAAUAUUGGACAAGGGGCGAAAGCCUGAUCCAGCCAGACCGCGUGGGUGAAGAAGGCCUUCGAGUUGUAAAGCCCUUUUGUUGGGAAAGAAAAGCAGCAGGUUAAUAACCCCCUGUUCUGACGGUACCCAAAGAAUAAGCACCGGCUAACUUCGUG
This 492-nucleotide ribosomal RNA is filed under the name uncultured bacterium. RNAcentral's name for it is "partial 16S ribosomal RNA". It matches the Rfam family "Bacterial small subunit ribosomal RNA", at positions 29 to 507 of the family's 1533-position model. The record is from RNAcentral.